UACAGAGGAGCCAAGCGUUGUCCGGAUUGACUGGGCGUAAAGCGCACGCAGGCGGAUGCGCGCGUGGGGUGUGAAAUCUGGCCGCUUAACGGCCAGGCGCCAUCCCAUACGGCGCGUCUGGAGUGAUGCAGAGGUCGAUGGAAUUGCCGGUGUAGUGGUGAAAUGCGUAGAGAUCGGCAGGAACACCCAGGGGGAAACCAGCCGACUGGGCAUAGGCUGACGCUGAGGAGCGAAAGCGUGGGGAGCGAACAGG
Molecule: ribosomal RNA, 253 nt
Filed under: uncultured bacterium
Lineage: Bacteria
Description: partial 16S ribosomal RNA
Rfam family: Bacterial small subunit ribosomal RNA
Source: RNAcentral